GGGCGAAUGGUUUAGUGGUAUAAUACUCCCUUAGCAUGUCUCGAAGACUUGGGAGUGGUCCAGGGUUCGAUUCCCUGUUCGUCCA
Hirsutella rhossiliensis is the source of this 85-nucleotide non-coding RNA. The record is from the annotation of a RefSeq genome assembly. NCBI's taxonomy places the organism in Eukaryota, Fungi, Ascomycota, Sordariomycetes, Hypocreales, Ophiocordycipitaceae.